GUAUUGUUUGAAUAGAGAGAAGGCUCAUAUUCCCAUAGAGGAGGAUGGAAGGGCCCUUGGGUCUAAUGGGAUGCAUAUGGUUAAGGUAGUAUGAUCUACUUUGUGAUAGCUAACCACUGUUUUUU
This is a small nuclear RNA of Peromyscus maniculatus bairdii (prairie deer mouse), 125 nucleotides long. Lineage: Eukaryota; Metazoa; Chordata; Mammalia; Rodentia; Cricetidae. The record is from Ensembl.